RNAcentral lists this ribosomal RNA (253 nucleotides) under uncultured bacterium. Its description in RNAcentral is "partial 16S ribosomal RNA". It matches the Rfam family "Bacterial small subunit ribosomal RNA", at positions 524 to 776 of the family's 1533-position model. The record is from RNAcentral.
UACGAAGGGGGCUAGCGUUGCUCGGAAUCACUGGGCGUAAAGGGUGCGCAGGCGGACUGGUUAGUCAGGGGUGAAAUCCCGUUGCUCAACAACGGAACUGCCUUUGAUACUGCCAGUCUUGAAUUAGGGAGAGGUUCGUGGAAUUCCGAGUGUAGCAGUGAAAUGUGUAGAUAUUCGGAAGAACACCAGUGGCGAAGGCGGCUCACUGGCCCGGUACUGACGCUGAGGUGCGAAAGCGUGGGGAGCAAACAGG